GGGCACAAACAGACUGAAAAGUGAGCGAUACCUAAAGCUAAAGCGGCGCAUGCUGCCAACGGCAGACGACGAUACGAAGUUGCCUGCUGAAGCUUUAGUGCCGACGAGGUCAGAGCGCACGAAGGCACACUACAAUAAAGAAAUGGGCAUUGAAAAGCUUGGCCAGUAGUCACUUAGUGUGUCGCUUUGCUAGAGCUUACAGGCGAAGUUCUCAGUUGCUGCGGCGCAUCCCGAAGGUCAGUGGGAAGCAACUGUGUGCAUAAAGAAGAGAAAUUCAGCGCUGCAGCUAAGUGCGUCAGUGGGAAGAGAGACUUCAUUAAAGCAAUUACAUACUUCCAAUGCAGCGAAUUAUCGUGCUUUGCUGUAAGAGCUUUCACACGAAGUUCACUGUCGCUGAAGCUGUCUUGCUACUAAAGAGGGAAUGCUUAUGCAUUAAGAAGUAUGCGCAUACAUAUGUAAUUGCUUAGCACAGGGUGUUGAAUGCGAAGCAAAUUAGCUUUUACCAAUUUCUGGAGUGUGCGAGCGAAGCUCUCUGCUAAGUAAAGAAUGUAUGGGUGUACAGAGCACAGCCAAUGAGCAGUGACGCAGCUAGAGCUUUCAGGCUAAGUUCAUCCUUAUACUGCCAAGCACUGUAAUGCAUGCCAGAUGCUCCCAUUUGUUUGACCAAAAAAAAAAAAUCUUCACCCAAUAAAGAAUUUAAAACAUGUUAUUACCAAUGUACUCUCGCCUUUUUAUCGCCCAAGGGGCUCGAUCAGCACAAACAAGAAAUGCUGCGCCGGACAUUAGAAAGUAAAGUAAAACGCUCGAAGAUGUUCAAUGGAAUUGCUUUAAUGGCUGUCCAUACAACUAUAAAUGUAUGUAUGUGCGUGUGUGUGUGUGUCCGUAGGCUAGUGUUCGUUGCUGCCCACCUGUGUGAAAUUGGCCAAAAGUGAGCGUUUUACUUGCCCAAUUUGUGUUGUCUAAGUUGUCAGACAGGAAGAAGACGACGAUGAUGAAGAAGAAGAAGACGAUCAUAGCAGAGGCUCCAGUUAAUGUGAAAGUGAGGCGCACAGAGAAUACAAAUAUACUGCGAAUGUAGAAUGACAGUGAAAAUGGAAACUGGAAAGAUGGAAAAUGCAACGUGCUUCAGUUCCUAUGGAAAAUCGGAAAAUCUAGACGAGACAAACGACUUGUUGUAGCCAAAAGGCUAGGCUAACUGAUAAGCUGUAAAGCUUGUUUGCUUUAACAUAAACUAAGAAAAUACGAGUCUUGAAAGAAGUACGAAUUUUAUAAGCAUAACCUUAGGUUAAAUCUGUAUAGUUUUAUAAGUAGUGCUAAUAUAAAUUAAAGGGAGAGAUCGGAGGGCAACGAGUCGUAUUAUAAAGCGAAUGAGUUUAAGUGUAUAUAAAUAUAUUUCUUAGGAGGGCCAGAAGCUGACAAGUCUCCUAGCUGGGAAAAAUUACAAGUAAGAGAGGUAAGACUUAAUAUUGUCAGAAACGGAAAACUGAAUAGUCGAUUAAGUACAAGUAUAAUUAUAAGUCUCUUUAGAGCAAGACUUAACUUCGCCCACACACAAACUUUGACAAAUCUCUUGACACUCUCAUGCUCCAUGACAUGACUGUAAAGUUUUUGUUAUCAUAAUUAGUGUUAGUCAUUUUAAGCAGUAUAGCAUUUAUAAUAUAAUUAGCUCGAGGUUUUCAGAUAAAACAUGCCAGUUUGUUUCUUAUCAUUGAAUUAACGCCUAGCUGCGUACUUCCUCUCCGAGGAAUCCUCUGUAUUUAUUGCAUUUUAAAUCCCAAUCAAAGUCAUUUGUUUAUGCUUAAUUGUAUAUAUAUUCUUUAUUUUUUAUCCGCUUUACACAUAUACUCUUCUUUUUUAACUGUUAGUAAAUUUUAAAUGUUAACAUGCUACUUACUAUACUUUAGACUUUUAGCAAGUUUUAUCGCUGGUGCAAAGUAGGGGUUCAUUUUUAUUUAUUUUUCUUCUUAUUUUUUUUUUUUUUUUUUAGAUUA
Molecule: long non-coding RNA, 1991 nt
Organism: Drosophila mojavensis
Lineage: Eukaryota; Metazoa; Arthropoda; Insecta; Diptera; Drosophilidae
Exons: 2
Source: RefSeq, a predicted model, not a curated record